UACGUAGGGUGCAGGCGUUAAUCGGAAUUACUGGGCGUAAAGCGUGCGCAGGCGGUUUGCUAAGACAGGUGUGAAAUCCCCGGGCUUAACCUGGGACUGCGUUUGAAACUACAAGGCUAGAGUGUGGCAGAGGGGGGUGGAAUUCCACGUGUAGCAGUGAAAUGCGUAGAUACUGGGAGGAACACCAGUGGCGAAGGCGGCUACCUGGACCGGUUCUGACGCUGAGGCGCGAAAAGCGUGGGUAGCAAACAGG
Molecule: ribosomal RNA, 253 nt
Filed under: uncultured bacterium
Lineage: Bacteria
Description: partial 16S ribosomal RNA
Rfam family: Bacterial small subunit ribosomal RNA
Source: RNAcentral